RNAcentral lists this transfer RNA (71 nucleotides) under Pomacea bridgesi. Its description in RNAcentral is "tRNA-Asn". RNAcentral also lists the same sequence under 1 other name. The record is from RNAcentral. Lineage: Eukaryota; Metazoa; Mollusca; Gastropoda; Architaenioglossa; Ampullariidae.
UAAAUGAAAGCCAAAAAGAGGCUUCUAACUGUUAAUUAGAAAAUUAUAUUGAUUAUUUAAUAUUCAUUUAG